Molecule: ribosomal RNA, 253 nt
Filed under: uncultured bacterium
Lineage: Bacteria
Description: partial 16S ribosomal RNA
Rfam family: Bacterial small subunit ribosomal RNA
Source: RNAcentral
UACAGAGGUCCCAAGCGUUGUUCGGAUUCACUGGGCGUAAAGGGUGCGUAGGUGGCGGGGUAAGUCUGAUGUGAAAUCUCCGAGCUUAACUCGGAAACUGCAUCGGAUACUGCUUUGCUCGAGGGUUGGAGGGGGGACUGGAAUACUUGGUGUAGCAGUGAAAUGCGUAGAUAUCAAGUGGAACACCAGUGGCGAAGGCGGGUUGCUGGGCUGACACUGACGCUGAGGCGCGAAAGCUAGGGGAGCGAACGGG